Long non-coding RNA from Helianthus annuus (common sunflower), 613 nucleotides. RefSeq lists it as uncharacterized. The record is from RefSeq and is a predicted model, not a curated record. The transcript has 4 exons. Lineage: Eukaryota; Viridiplantae; Streptophyta; Magnoliopsida; Asterales; Asteraceae.
AACACACCCACACAAGCACACACACAUUUCGUGUGUUCUAGAACGAUCAGGGGGAACUCCCCAUGAACCAAACCCUAGUUCUAACACAAUCAUCAAAUUGAGGAGUCAAAUGAAGCUCAAAUUCACAACCAAACAUGAAUUAAGGAUCACCUACUCAAGGGGAUCAUGAGGAAUCAUGUCGAGACGGAAUCAAGCACGGAUGGAUAACGGGUCAAGAAGUGGCGAGGAAACGAAUAUGAACACGGAUGCAUGAGGUACAUUAUUGUUGAUUCAUUGAAGUUUAAUCAUCGAGAUGAAAUACUCGAAUUCAGAAAGAUAACCAAGAUGUACGGAAUCACGGAUCAUCAUCAUGAGGUGUAAGCGGUUGAAGAUCGAGUCACAAGAUAGAUUGUACGUGAAUGCUUGAUCAUGUAAUUUAGUAAACAUAAGUUAUGUUUUCAUUUCAUAAAUGAGGGCAAGGAUAAAUUUAUUGUAAAAAAGUCAUUUUAAAAUGGACUUUCAAUCAUGUCAAGACGUCUGUAAAGAAAGAAAUUUUAUGGUACGUGUUUCCGCUGCGACUUUUGUCAUGUACAAUUUAGGGCGUAACAAGUUGGUAUCAGAGCCCUGGUUUGAG